RNAcentral lists this ribosomal RNA (352 nucleotides) under uncultured Racocetra. RNAcentral describes it as "SSU rRNA". It matches the Rfam family "Eukaryotic small subunit ribosomal RNA", at positions 569 to 929 of the family's 1831-position model. Lineage: Eukaryota; Fungi; Glomeromycota; Glomeromycetes; Diversisporales; Gigasporaceae. The record is from RNAcentral.
AGCAGCCGCGGUAAUUCCAGCUCCAAUAGCGUAUAUUAAAGUUGUUGCAGUUAAAAAGCUCGUAGUUGAAUUUCGGGGUUCUACCGUUGGUCGGGCUUUGUCUGUACUGGCGUGUAGAAUUUCUACCUUCUGGGGAACCAUCAUGUUAUUAAUUUAACGUGGUGGGAAACCAGGACCUUUACCUUGAAAAAAUUAGAGUGUUCAAAGCAGGCUUAUGUCUGAAUACAUUAGCAUGGAAUAAUAAAAUAGGACGGUGGUCCUGUUUUGUUGGUUUCUGAAUCACCGUAAUGAUUAAUAGGGAUAGUUGGGGGCAUUAGCAUUCAAUUGUCAGAGGUGAAAUUCUUGGAUUUAU